Molecule: non-coding RNA, 7755 nt
Organism: Heterocephalus glaber (naked mole-rat)
Lineage: Eukaryota; Metazoa; Chordata; Mammalia; Rodentia; Bathyergidae
Source: RefSeq, a predicted model, not a curated record
AUCCAAGCAGCAGAAUGAAGCUCUGAAAUCUGAAAUGGAGCUUGAGUUAGUUUGACCAGGUUGAGUCCAAUGAACAAAAGGAAGCAAUCUAAAUUUUCUUAGAAUUAUUCUAGAAAACAUAGUUGAUAGUAUUUUGAAUUAUUUUUCACCUGGGAAUUUUAUAUUCAUGGACAGAUUCUGUUCUGUAUUUAAAAUUUCCUCAGUUUACAGGAAUUGAGUGACAUUUUUCUAUAAACUUGUUCAUUAACAAAUUGGCUUUUUCUAGAAUUAUGUCUAUAAUGCAUUCCACUGCAAAAAAAUAAUUUUAGUUUUUUAGGUAAUGCCAUACAUUUGGACAUAAAGAUUAAUUUAGAUUUAUGAGAAUUAUUUGAUUUAAAAAAUGAGAGUAAACUUAACUUUCCAUAAUUUCCACACAUAAUUAAAAUGUUUUUUUAUUAGCUUUUAUGAGAGAAGUGUUUUCUCUAACCCCCACCCCAUACUCAUUCAGGUGCAUUUCCCCUAGUAAAAAGUAAACCCAAUAUUUUAUUCAAAGCCAUUUUUCCUAAAAUUCUUAAAAACUUUGUAUUUGGAUGUGAUGGUAAUUACAUGUCUGAAAUCAGUUGCCUAAAAUUAUUGAAAACAGUAAAACUGCAGUACCCUUCGUGUGGAGAGUCUGUUCCCUGGAUGUUUUUCAGCUUGGGAUUUUUGGCCAUAGCUGUCAUUCCUCUACUCAUGGAGAUACAGUGAUGGUAAAUCUAGCCAGUAAAGUUGUUUUGCAGUUUAGUCAUCCUGUUUUUUGCUUAGCAGUCGCACUACGGGUACAUGUAAGACACAAGUACUUUUUCUAGCUAACUCAUGUAUAUAGGAGUGGACCUUUUUCUUAUUAAUCUUCAGUUUUAUAUCUGAAGAUGAGCUACAGUAUUAAUCGAAGUAGUAUGCAAUUUUUGAGUGCGUUUGGGUAGAAAAGCAUUGAAAAGUAGGAAUAUCCCAAGUAUUUGUGUAUGCCAGUUUAUUUGGUGUCAACACCUAGAUCAGUAUCAAAUCUGCAAUGCAGUAGGACCUAGAGUUUAAUUGGGAAGUAGUUGUAAAAGAUUUUGUUCUUAACACUUUCUCAUCCUUGCCAGUUGACUAAAAAUACAGAUGAUUGAAUAGUUUCCCUCCAACUUCAUUUGUAUGGUACGGUAGGUUAGAAAUUGGUGGAAGGAUUACAUUCACGAAGUUUACCUAGCAUUCAGAAAAUACAACACCCAAGUAUUUUGUGGAAUCACUUGUGAUUGUAAACCCAGUGUUAGGCCAGUCUAUCAGUCAUUGACUGGAUAGAGGAACUUCUGGAUACUUAUUACUAUGCUUUUAGGGUAGAGAAUUUAGACAUUUGUUUAAUGUGUACUUAAUUUUAUUUGCCUAAGAGAGUAAGCCUAGAAAAUUUGUUAAACCUGCAUCUUGACAACACUGGGUUUUGCUUUCAAUCUGAAUCUGAGUGGGAAAAAUGCUGUACAGUAGUAGAAAGUGAUGAGGUUAGUGAGUCUGGACUACUAGACCAAGUCUGCAAACAUCUCUUCAAGAAAGAUUUCAGUUCUUUACACCAUUAUAGUCAUUGCUUGGCAGUGCGUAAUCUACUCAUGUGCAUGUUCAGUUUGAUAAUGUAUAAUACUGUAAGUUAUUCAGGGAUUCCAGGCUGAAACGCUAACAUAGUGCAGUAUCUGGUUGAUAAAUACUGAACUAUUUGUAGCAUGUUCUUUGCUGCUUUUUCCUUUGAUAGGCCUGUUCCAUGAUAUUAAAGAAGAAAGAAUUAGUUGUACUUGGUAAACACUCAAAACCUUUGCUACAGUAGUAUCUGUCAAAAAACUUAAGUCACUAAGAACAAAGAUAGCUAAUAGACAUCGAGUUUAUGUGCUAUAAAUAUUUCAAAAGCAUUGACAAGAUAAUAGUGAUUACAGAUUAUUUGGCAACCAGCUUUUGAGCUGUUAAGGGAGAGUUAUGGACAAGUACAAGAACAAAAGUUUCCAACAUUAUUUUUUUCUUUGAAAAGUAAUAAAGCAAAAAAUAUGCUGAUUUAAAUUUCAUCUCCUUUUCCUUAGUCUGUCCAUGUGAAUGUGCUGUGUGGAAGAGUAAAAGGGCCCAACUAAAUGUGUUCCAGUGAUUCUAAUAGGUAUUCCAAAUUAAUUGUAUAUUUAACAGUUGUUAUGUUAGGGUUCUAAGAUCACCUUCAGUAGAACUUCCUUAUUUUUAAAGAUGUGGGGAAAAGUAAUUGGUAACCAGAUGGACAGAUUCUCUGUAAGAGAAAAGCAAGUUUUCUGAUUUUCCCUUUGCAUACCUGCACCGAGUACUUGGUGUCCUCUCUACAGUUGGACGUCCUUCCAUAAAGCUGUGUAUGAAAAACAAUAUCGACUAUCCUCCCUAACGUUAGAGAUUAAAUAAAAACUUUAGUUCUAAUGCAAAACAAUGAGUAAGAUUAAGAUAACUUUCUGUCCUUGUUUUCCCAACAUUUCUGCAUUUAUACACAAACUGCUUUAGAACAUCUGGAAAACACUGCGCUCCUUUAGGAUAAUGAAGUAAUUAAAAUGUAAAGUCAGUUGGGAAGUAAAUUUGACACGUUGACUGACAGAAUGGGAAGGUUUGUGGUGUAAGGUCUGGUCAUGCCAGUCCGGAGCAUGUAACCUGUGUACAUCUGAGUUUGAUAACACUCGGAGGAAAUUAAUUUUUCCUACUACAUACUCCAGAAUAAUGCUUAGAUAAAAUGAGAGGACCUGGGUGCAGGUGUAACUGUAUAGGUAGCAACACUUAAUGCGUAAUGGCUCUGAAGGCGCAACCCUCAUGGCUUCUAAAGAGCAGGCAACUCAAGGUUUCAUAACCAUUUCUGUUCAUUACAAAAAGCCCCAACUAGAAAAAUAAAAUUUGUUUCAAAAAUAAGCUGAAUUUAUGUGAUAAGGGAUGCCUUUUCACUUGUCUUCAUGGUAUAGUGGAAGAAACAUUUCUAUGGAAACUAAUCUUUUAUAAAAGCUGUAUGUACAGAGAUUAUUUUGAUACCAACUAAGGGCUUGCCCUUGUCAUGGGUGGUUUACAAUGUAUGGGAUUUAAUUCCUAGAAAAAAGGUGGAAGAGGUACCACCCAUUGCCUUGAUCCAUUCUUUGGAAGUAAGCAGUCUUUGUCUAUUAAUGUAAUCAGUGGUAGCCUUAAGAUGAAAAUAAUGUAAUGUCAUCCUUAUUCUAGUGAAUGGUUGAAAAGCACUUAAAUAUUUGAAACACAUCUGUAGUGCUCACAUUAUAAACUUUAAAUGCAAUACUUUGAAGAAUAUAUUCAUAAUAAAAUUUUUCUUGUCCCAGCUGUUUCCCUUUUAAAAAACAAUUUUAAGCUCUUAAUGUAUAAAGUAAGGUGUGUGGAAAUACCAGUAUUUGGGUAGUGAUACUGGCAUAUUGACCUGAUUUGAUAUUUACUGGAUUAUUUUAAGAUGCUUCCAAAGUUUAUUUUAUUCUAGAGAACCGCUACAAAUAAGAAUUACAGCAAUCGUUUUGAUUUUUCUACUUUGCUCACUAAGGUCUGCUUACCGAAAGGAUAGUGUAUUACUUUAACAUGACUUUUAAAGGGGUGGCUUGACCCCGUCACAGAUUUUUAUCUAGGAAUAGGAGGAUUCAAACCCUGUUUGAUCCCUCUUUGCUGAAAAGUGCAUAAACAGGAAUCCUGAAUUUAUUAUAUAGACCUCCUCGCAUUAUAUAAUCGAAGCAAAGGGAAACCAGCGAUGGAGUUAGAGGUACGUAGACUAAUAAAGAGAUGCUUGCAAAUCAAAUAAUGGUUCUAGUGCAGUCAAGAAUUCUUGUGACAAACUUGGUCAAUAUAAAUCAAAUCAGAAAAGAGCUUCUAAUUUAAAUACCCUGAGGUCCCUUUUACUGAGAUGGAAAAGCAAGUAGUCAAGAAAAAAGGAGGGGUGAGGGAAGGGGAAAAUGCAUAAAGUGCUAGGAAGAUUUAUGAAAGUAGGUAUUGUAGAAAAGCUGCCAGAAGUUUUCAAAACUAACAACUACAAUUCUAUUUUAAUCAGCUACUUAGCUGGUACCUACUGCUAUAUCACCUAGUGUGAGAUUUCGGAAUUAAUGGAACAAUGAAGGAGGCAGUGUGCUGGAGGCUUCCAAGGGAAUAUGGAAGGUCUUCAGUUUGUGCAUUCUGCUGUGAAAAUGAACUAACCUUGUUAAAUGAUGAAGGCAUUGGAAAUUUUUACCAGCUGAGAGGUUUCUUUGAUUACUCAGGGUAAGAUGUAAUUGUGGUGUGGUAGAGCUAGAAGACAAUGCAGUUGCCUGGUUUUACAUGUUAUAUGUGUUAGUAAACUAAGUUGUGUCUUGUCUACAUAGCUUGUUAAAAUGUCAGAUGAUUUGAUUAAUGCUUAUUAUUCUUCCCUAGUCAAGCAGUGCUGCCUCUUAAAAACUUCAUGUUUUUUGAGAACAGGGUCUCACUCUAGUGCAGGCUGGCCUCCAAUUUGCAGCAAUCCUGCUCCAGCUUCCCGAGUGCUGGGAUUACAGGCUGCAGCACCACAGCUGGCAAAACUUCCAUGUAUUUAAUCAUGACCAGUUACAUGUUGGUCUGUGCCAGUAAGAGUUGGCAGAUUUUGUAAUUGCAUUUUCCUUUCCAGUAAAUCAGUAUUCAAGUCCAAGUCCUCUGUUUGGUGGCUACCAAAGCAGAAUCAGUAAAACUUUUGUUAGAACGUGUGUUUGGCAACAUGCAUUGGGAGUUGUGGCAUUUGGUAAACCACAUGGCCUUUUACCCUAACCCUCACAGUGACAGUCACAAAAUGCCUCUGGUGAAAGGAACUGAACCAAGCCCUUUUCCUUUGAUUUUGAGAAGGUAUGCAAAACAAGGUAAUAGGUCUCUUCCUAUGAAACACCAAAUUGAAGGGACCAGUGGCUGAGAGCUUGUGUCUUAUUCCCUUGCCAUAUUGAGCAUCUACUUUAAGGAGGUCUGUUGCUCUCCUUGAGCUCCUGGACCCAGGCGAUCCUCUUGAUUCAGCCUAACCAGGACUGUAGGUGCAGGCCACAGGUUUUCUUUAAAAAGAAAUGUUUACUAAAACCAAUAGGAAGAUUUCUCCUGGAUGAGUUAAUACUAGGGAUUUGUGUUGGGUUAAUAUUGAGUGCCUUUAUUCUUUUUAAAAUUGCAGGAGAUUGACUUGUCUGAUUUACAUUAAGGUAACACAAUAUGUGUAAUUUUGACCAAACAUUUUCAUAUCAAAACAUACUGUGCAUACUUUUAACUGAAUUCACUUAAAAUGUUGCAUACUUCAAAAAACAUUAAGACUCAACUGAAAACGUAAGGUGGUGAUUUUGUUUUUAAGGCAAGUUAAUACAGUUGGGAUAGUUUCUUGAAAUCUCAAUUUUAAACUCAUUGCUUUUAUUGCAAAGAAACUUUUCCCACUAGGUUUUAGAAUUCUUAAUCACGCUGUCAGUAAAUUCUAAUAUUUUAAGCAUGCAUGACAGGUCUGUUCCAACACAGGAAUGCUGAGCUGACAGUAAAGGGUCACAAUGAGUUGGCAAGUUUUCCUACGAGUAUGAAAAAGACAGACUAUGGUUGAAACAUACUUUUUUUGUAUGUAUAAAAUGCUCUGUGUAGUUCCAACAUUGUUCACACUGACUUCAAGAAUUCCAUUUUCCAUGUUCAGGUUGCUCAGUUGCUGCUGUUGGUUUGUUUUCUUUCAGGAUCAAGGUGGGUGCUUUCAUACAAAAUCUUAUUUUUUAUUCCUUCUCUGGCAAUUCUUUGCUGGAUUCUUUGCUUUGCAUAAUUAUACCUGCAGUGGAACCUUAUAAUAUAAAUUGUUAAUAUAUAUAAAGUUCUAUAGAAAUUUAUAAAAUUUAGCUAUUCUUUAUAAUCACAAUUUUUAAAUGCUUACAGAUGAAGAUCUGAAGACUAAAUUACAAAUGUUCUAAUAGAGUACUGUUUUGGUGUCACAAUACCUAUGAACAAAAUCAUACUUACAUAAAAUGAGGAUUUGUCACCUUAGUUUUAAAUUGUUUUACAUUAAUCAUCAAUAGAACAAACAGGGAUGAAAUAAUUCAAAGAAGAUUAACAAAUGACAAACAUUCCAUUAUGAACUGUUUAUCUGUUCAAGCAUUCAACAAAUAGUAUAAUAUGUGGCUAUUAAAGGCAAAGGCAUUCAUUCCAUCAACAUUGCUUUGUAAGAUGGAUUUCCAUUAAAAAGCCUUUAAAAAAUAAGAUUUUCAGAAGGUGGAUUUCCCAAUGAGAUUUUUGGGGAAAGAACACAUGCUUUUGAGAUAGACAUCCUACUGUGAUCUUGGGUUUUCUGGAAUAGAUGGCAAACAUACCAACAUCCUAAAGUCACCACGAUAAAUCCUCCUACACCAACAUCACAUGAUCUUCUAAUUCUGCCUGUUAGGAAUAAGCAUAACCACUGUAAUUAUUAGACUAUAGUUCCAUAAGAUCAUUACCCCACCUAGAAAAAUUGUUUUCCACAGAGAAAAAGGAUUUUGCAUAGAGAUAUAAACAUAGAUACUCACUAGUUAACAAAAAGUGUCCAAGUCCAGCCACAACAGAUCCUAAUGAACCAUACAAUACCGAAUCCCGUGCACAGGGAAUGUUUUCAACAUCCAAAAUUCCUAGGAGCUUAAAGGGCUAGAUUAAAAAAAAAAGAACCUAGAUUGAACAAGAAUAUUUUAGUUCAGAAUAAUUAGCAAACAUCACAGUGCAAACAGUUUACUGUAUUUGAAGGGAUAAACUAGAAUAGAGCCAGUCAACAACCCUGGAUCAGUUAAUACUGUAUUUGAUUAUUCUGUUAAAUACAGUUGAACCUAUAAAAUUAGAAACAUUGAAAAUUUGUCCAGAAAGCCUGAAGCAGUAAUAAAACUCUACAUUCUGACAUAACUUGUUAAUCAGCUGAUUUUUUGGGAAUCAACAACUUUCAUUUCUUUGAGAAGUGUAAAUGAGAAAAGUUACUUGAGCCAUGUUUGCUUGUAGUAGUUAAACGGUGUUAAGAAUUCCUAAAACAUUUUAUUUUCAGGUUUAUUGGUGUUUAGAUGAAUAGCACCGGUUAUAACCUUUUACAUUAACAUGAACACGGGUAAUGUAUUUCUCUGGUCCCAAUUUCCUUGCCUGUCACAUGAAGUUGCAGAUUAUUAAUCUGAUUGAUAUUAUAUGGAACCCACAGCUAGGUAAAUCCUGACUGAAUUUUUGUGUCAGCACUGCCUCAAUCUACAAUGAAGGGGGAUUGAGUUUCUCCAAGUGCUACAGUGAAUUAUCUUUAUUGUAUUUUAUUUUCUCCAUUGUGUUCAACCAGAUGUCUUGUCAGUCCCAUAGACCUAUCUGUGACUGGCAGAAAUUUGUUUUGUGGGACAGAAUCUCGCUAUCCAAUCACUCUACCUCAGCUUCCUGAGUUCUGGGAUCACAGGUGCACACACCACCAUGCAGGCUUGACUAUGACAUUUCUGUCAAAGGCCUACAGGGCCUGGGUUGUGUGUCUCAGUGGGAGAGAGCACUUCUCUAUUAUGUGGAAGGUCCUGGAUUUGAUCUCCAGCAGUGUUAAAAACAUUCAAAAAACUUAAAUGAUGCUGGUUAAAUGUAAAGUCUUCCACUACUGCUUUAAAAAAAUACAUUGGUAUAGUGUGAGGCAGCGAACCUAGGAGGGAAAAGUACACAGUACAAAGGACUGAAAGGCAAGCCAUAGUGAAGGUUGAGGCAUGAAGAUUAUUCUAUUGUGUAUCACCCAUGUUUGCUUCUUUGACUUAAGCAUCUGCUGGUAAAGACAAAAUGUGACUUAUUUCAUAUUAAAGUAAAAAUUACACUCUU